AUUGAACGCUGGCGGCAGGCCUAACACAUGCAAGUCGAACGGUAACAGGAAGAAGCUUGCUUCUUUGCUGACGAGUGGCGGACGGGUGAGUAAUGUCUGGGAAACUGCCUGAUGGAGGGGGAUAACUACUGGAAACGGUAGCUAAUACCGCAUAACGUCGCAAGACCAAAGAGGGGGACCUUCGGGCCUCUUGCCAUCGGAUGUGCCCAGAUGGGAUUAGCUAGUAGGUGGGGUAACGGCUCACCUAGGCGACGAUCCCUAGCUGGUCUGAGAGGAUGACCAGCCACACGGGAACUGAGACACGGUCCAGACUCCUACGGGAGGAAGCAGUGGGGAAUAUUGCACAAUGGGCGCAAGCAUGAUGCAGCAAUGCCGCGUGUAUGAAGAAGGCCUUCGGGUUGUAAAGUACUUUCAGCGGGGAGGAAGGGAGUAAAGUUAAUACCUUUACUCAUUGACGUUACCCGCAGAAGAAGCACCGGCUAACUCCGUG
This 490-nucleotide ribosomal RNA is filed under the name uncultured bacterium. Its description in RNAcentral is "partial 16S ribosomal RNA". It matches the Rfam family "Bacterial small subunit ribosomal RNA", at positions 30 to 507 of the family's 1533-position model. The record is from RNAcentral.